AAAGAUUUAGUUAAAGAAUAACGUAGGCUUGUCAAGCUUAAAUUAAUAAAAAAUUAAUUUUUU
This 63-nucleotide transfer RNA is filed under the name Scolytoplatypus raja. Its description in RNAcentral is "tRNA-Asp". The record is from RNAcentral. Lineage: Eukaryota; Metazoa; Arthropoda; Insecta; Coleoptera; Curculionidae.